RNAcentral lists this ribosomal RNA (204 nucleotides) under Triticum aestivum (bread wheat). RNAcentral describes it as "partial small subunit ribosomal RNA". Lineage: Eukaryota; Viridiplantae; Streptophyta; Magnoliopsida; Poales; Poaceae. The record is from RNAcentral.
AUGGGGUUCGUCUCCUUCGUCGGGAGGGUGCUCUUCGCCUCCGUCUUCCUCCUCUCCGCCUACCGAGAAGGAGGAAGCAAACUUGCCCGGCAAGAAGGGAUCCCUCAAGCUGGACGAAUGGGUGUUGUGCCGGCUUUAGAACAAGAAGAACAACUGGGAGAAGGUCAAGGUGGAGCAGGACAUGGCUGUGGAGGCAUGGCCUGA